This 715-nucleotide ribosomal RNA is filed under the name uncultured bacterium. Its description in RNAcentral is "bacterial SSU rRNA". It matches the Rfam family "Bacterial small subunit ribosomal RNA", at positions 8 to 722 of the family's 1533-position model. The record is from RNAcentral.
AGAGUUUGAUCAUGGCUCAGAAUGAACGUUGGCGGCGUGGAUUAGGCAUGCAAGUCGAGCGAGAACCCGCAAGGGGGACAGCGGCGAACGGGGUAGGACAACGUAGGUAACGUACCCUCGGGGCGAGGACAGCCACGGGAAACUGUGGGUAAUACUCGAUAAUCUUCCCAAUCAUAAUCGGAGGGGAAGCAAUGGGUGAGAUUCCACCUGAGGAGCGGCUUACGCAGUAUCAGCUAGUUGGUGAGGUAACGGCUCACCAAGGCUAUGACGCUUAGGGGAUGUGAGAGCAUGAUCCCCACCACUGGCACUGAGACACUGGCCAGACACCUACGGGUGGCUGCAGUCGAGAAUCUUCGGCAAUGGACGCAAGUCUGACCGAGCGACGCCGCGUGCGGGAUGAAGGUCUUCGGAUUGUAAACCGCUGUCAGAGGGGAUGAAGUGUACGGGAGUUAUCUCCUGUAUUUGACAGAGCCUCAGAGGAAGCACGGGCUAAGUUCGUGCCAGCAGCCGCGGUAAUACGAACUGUGCGAACGUUAUUCGGAAUCACUGGGCUUAAAGGGUGCGUAGGCGGUUAUCUAAGUCAGGUGUGAAAUCUUUCGGCUCAACCGGAAAACUGCGCUUGAUACUGGAUGACUUGAGUGAGGUAGGGGUGUGUGGAACUUCCGGUGGAGCGGUGAAAUGUGUAGAUAUCGGAAGGAACGCCAGCAGCGAAAGC